GACGAACCGUCCUAACGUUGUUCGGAAUCACUGGGCUUAAAGGGCGCGUAGGCGGCCUUGAAAGUCGGGGGUGAAAUCCCACGGCCUAACCGUGGAAGUGCCUCCGAUACUGCAAGGCUCGAGGGAGGUAGGGGCAGCUGGAACUUCCGGUGGAGCGGUGAAAUGCGUUGAUAUCGGAAGGAACGCCGGUGGCGAAAGCGAGCUGCUGGACCUCUGCUGACGCUGAGGCGCGAAAGCCAGGGGAGCAAACAGGG
Molecule: ribosomal RNA, 254 nt
Filed under: uncultured bacterium
Lineage: Bacteria
Description: partial 16S ribosomal RNA
Rfam family: Bacterial small subunit ribosomal RNA
Source: RNAcentral